AAAACCGCAAAAAUCUAUGUGAAAUAAAUCUAGGUUAUA
This 39-nucleotide unclassified non-coding RNA is filed under the name Leishmania tarentolae. RNAcentral's name for it is "guide RNA". Lineage: Eukaryota; Euglenozoa; Kinetoplastea; Trypanosomatida; Trypanosomatidae. The record is from RNAcentral.